CUUAAUAAAUAAAAUUAAAUAAAUAAAUUAAACCAAAAAACACAAAAAAAUAAUAAAAAAUAAAAUUAAAAAUUAAAAAAAAAAACAAAGAGGUUGGAAGCACGCUUGCCUCCAUUGUCAAUAAUAUACAAAGCAUUGAAUGCUCUUGAGGCAGCUAGGAUUUGCAGUCAUUUUCAGUGGAUUUGUUUUUGACUUAAAGGCAACACAUCCGAAAUUAUUGCCUUGGACAAUUGGGUUCUAUAAGAACCCAAAAACUCUUAUUCAAAACAGGAGGCAUAGGAGUUCUUUUGAAAAUUUUUUUUUGAAAGCUAGAGAAAACGAUCCAAAAAAACCAAACAACAAAAAAAAAAACCAAUCUUUCUAGAACCAACAACACACAAUCACCAAAAAUCCUAAACCUCUAGCAGCUGAAACCACAACCCACAACAAUAAAAAAACAAAAAAAAUAAUAAAGAAAAUAGAUAAAAAAAAGGAAGAAAAAAAAAACGAUAGAGGCAGUGGGUAGUGAGGGAUUUGCCAUUUGGGUUUUAUAGGAAAGGUGCAGUCAUCGAAAUAAGGGAGAGUUUGAGAGAAAGGUUUGCUGCCAGCGAAGGAAAGAGGGGUCAGCGAAGAGAGAGAGAGAUCGGUGAGCUAGUGAGAGAGCAGAAAAAUGGAGAGUUAGGAGCAAGGUUUGCCGCCGGCAGUGAGUGAGUGAGUGAAGAGAGAAAGCUGGUGAGAGAGGCGGUGGGAGGAGUUUGAAGAGAAAAGAAAAAACACGUUAUUAGAGAGAGGGGAAAGUGCUGCCUUAGUAGAGAGAGAAAAU
RNAcentral lists this long non-coding RNA (802 nucleotides) under Theobroma cacao (cacao). RNAcentral describes it as "long non-coding RNA (TCAC_LNC005236)". Lineage: Eukaryota; Viridiplantae; Streptophyta; Magnoliopsida; Malvales; Malvaceae. The record is from RNAcentral.